Molecule: ribosomal RNA, 371 nt
Filed under: uncultured organism
Description: partial 16S ribosomal RNA
Rfam family: Bacterial small subunit ribosomal RNA
Source: RNAcentral
GUAGGUGGCAAGCGUUGUCCGGAAUUAUUGGGCGUAAAGCGCGCGCAGGCGGUUCUUUAAGUCUGAUGUGAAAGCCCACGGCUCAACCGUGGAGGGUCAUUGGAAACUGGAGAACUUGAGUACAGAAGAGGAAAGCGGAAUUCCACGUGUAGCGGUGAAAUGCGUAGAGAUGUGGAGGAACACCAGUGGCGAAGGCGGCUUUCUGGUCUGUAACUGACGCUGAGGCGCGAAAGCGUGGGGAGCAAACAGGACUAGAUACCCUGGUAGUCCACGCCGUAAACGAUGAGUGCUAAGUGUUAGGGGGUUUCCGCCCCCUUAGUGCUGCAGCUAACGCAUUAAGCACUCCGCCUGGGAGUACGGCCGCAAGGCUG